Molecule: transfer RNA, 586 nt
Filed under: Stenomitos frigidus ANT.L52B.3
Lineage: Bacteria; Bacillati; Cyanobacteriota; Cyanophyceae; Leptolyngbyales; Leptolyngbyaceae
Description: Leptolyngbya frigida ANT.L52B.3 partial 16S-23S ribosomal RNA intergenic spacer
Rfam family: tRNA (bases 278-350)
Source: RNAcentral
UAGGGAGACCUACCCGCAUUGAUGUUCGAAAGCAAUUUGCGAUUAGAGCCAAUGUUGGUCAUCCCAAGGUCGUUCAAGAUUAAGUGUUGGCUUUCAAACUAGCUAGGUUUGGUUUAUGGGCUAUUAGCUCAGGUGGUUAGAGCGCACCCCUGAUAAGGGUGAGGUCCCUGGUUCGAGUCCAGGAUGGCCCACCUUAGAAGUUGUUAGUUAGAAGUUGUUAGCUUUUAGUCUUGAUUGAAGGCUAAGGGUUGGGAACCUAGUACUAAGGGCUUCAUCUGGGGGUUUAGCUCAGUUGGUAGAGCGCCUGCUUUGCAAGCAGGAUGUCAACGGUUCGAGUCCGUUAACCUCCACUGGGUUAUUUAGUUAAGACCGUUAGCGAAUGUGAGUUAAUUUCAGCAACUUGUCUAGYUUUUGAACUAGAGAGCCUGCUGGAUUUAGUUCCAGCCAGAACCUUGAAAACUGCAUAGUAACUUGUCAGGUAGAACAAUUUUUAGUUCUUUGCCUUUGUUGAAUGGUGUUCGCACUGUUUUACACAGACGGCAAAAGUUAAAGAUUGUAGUCACAGACACCAAUGCAAUUGAUAGUG